AUAAUGGUAGAGCUCAAGCUAUGGCGAACUAUCAAAUAUUUUUAUCAUGUGCGCCAGCUUUGGCACCAAUCUUAGGGAGUACUUUAGGUGCAAGAUGGGAUUAUAUUGGUAUUUUUAGUUUUUUGCUUGUUAUAUCUAUCGUAUUAUUUCUGAUUAUCUUUUUUAUUGAUAUUCCAAAUGUUGAAAAAGGGAUUGUGAAAUUAACUGAAAAAAUUGAAGAAAAAUAUUUGAUCGAUAAAGUGUUUAUUACUUUAGUGACAUUGGGAUUUUUAAUAUUUUUGACGUACUUUUCAAUAUUAGUUUAUUUACCGACAUUAUUAAAUAAUACCUAUGAUAUAGGCGUUGGAAUAUCAGGAGUUUUGUUUUUACCUAUUACUGUUAGUGUUAUAUUAGGAAGUUUAUUUUAUAAACGAUUGUCAAAAAAAUAUAAUGAAAUAAUGAUACUUCGUGUUACUAUAACUGGAUUUGCUAUAUUUACGUUAUUGUUUGGUUGGUUAAACGAAUCAAAUGUAAUUAUAUUAUCAGUAAUUAUAUUUAUAUUAG
This 543-nucleotide small RNA is filed under the name Staphylococcus aureus. RNAcentral describes it as "Transcript". The record is from RNAcentral. Lineage: Bacteria; Bacillati; Bacillota; Bacilli; Caryophanales; Staphylococcaceae.